GAUGAAGAACGCAGCGAAAUGCGAUAAGUAAUGUGAAUUGCAGAAUUCAGUGAAUCAUCGAAUCUUUGAACGCACAUUGCGCCCGCCAGUAUUCUGGCGGGCAUGCCUGUUCGAGCGUCAUUUCAACCAUCAAGCCCUGCUUGCGUUGGGGUCCUGCGGCUGCCCACAGGCCCUGAAAACCAGUGGCGGGCUCGCUAGUCACACCGAGCGCAGUAAUACAUCUCGCUUUGGGCGUGCGGCGGGUUCUUGCCGUUAAACACCCCCUUUUUACCAAGGUUGACCUCGGAUCAGGUAGGAAUACCCGCUGAACUUAAGCAUAUCAAUAAGCGGAGGA
Molecule: unclassified non-coding RNA, 334 nt
Filed under: soil metagenome
Description: partial contains 5.8S ribosomal RNA, internal transcribed spacer 2, and large subunit ribosomal RNA
Rfam family: 5.8S ribosomal RNA (bases 1-120)
Source: RNAcentral